This 256-nucleotide ribosomal RNA is filed under the name uncultured bacterium. Its description in RNAcentral is "partial 16S ribosomal RNA". It matches the Rfam family "Bacterial small subunit ribosomal RNA", at positions 524 to 776 of the family's 1533-position model. The record is from RNAcentral.
UACGUAGGGUGCGAGCGUUGUCCGGAAUUAUUGGGCGUAAAGAGCUCGUAGGCGGUGUGUCACGUCGGCCGUGAAAACCUGCAGCUUAACUGUGGGCGUGCGGUCGAUACGGGCAUCACUGGAGUUCGGCAGGGGAGACUGGAAUUCCUGGUGUAGCGGUGAAAUGCGCAGAUAUCAGGAGGAACACCGGUGGCGAAGGCGGAUCUCUGGGCCUUACCUGACGCUGAGGCGCGAAAAGCUAGGGGGAGCGAACAGG